This 371-nucleotide ribosomal RNA is filed under the name uncultured soil bacterium. RNAcentral's name for it is "bacterial SSU rRNA". It matches the Rfam family "Bacterial small subunit ribosomal RNA", at positions 94 to 504 of the family's 1533-position model. The record is from RNAcentral.
AGUGGCGGACGGGUGAGGAACACGUGGGUGACCUACCUUGGAGUGAGGAAUACCGGCGAGAAAUCGCCGACAAUACCGCAUACGCUUCUGUAGCGGAAAGCCUCGCUCGGAGAUGGGCCCGCGGCCGAUUAGCUAGUUGGUGGGGUAAGAGCCUACCAAGGCAACGAUCGGUAGCUGGUCUGAGAGGACGAUCAGCCACACUGGGAUUGAGAACGGCCCAGACUCCUACGGGGGGCAGCAGUGAGGAAUUUUCGGCAAUGGGGGCAACCCUGACCGAGCAACGCCGCGUGCAGGAAGAAGGUCUUCGGAUCGUAAACUGCUUUUCUCUGGGAAGAGGGACGGUACCAGAGGAAGAAGCCCCGGCUAACUAC